CCAGACUCCUACGGGAGGCAGCAGUGAGGAAUAUUGGUCAAUGGGCUUACGCCUGAACCAGCCAAGUCGCGUGAGGGAAGACUGCCCUAUGGGUUGUAAACCUCUUUUGUCAGGGAGCAACGCCGGCUACGUGUAGCCGGACUGAGAGUACCUGAAGAAAAAGCAUCGGCUAACUCCGUGCCAGCAGCCGCGGUAAUACGGAGGAUGCGAGCGUUAUCCGGAUUUAUUGGGUUUAAAGGGUGCGUAGGCGGCGCCUCAGGUCAGCGGUGAAAUACCGGGGCUCAACCCCGGGGCUGCCGUUGAAACCGGAGCGCUAGAAUUCCGAUGCCGUCGGAGGAAUGUGUGGUGUAGCGGUGAAAUGCAUAGAUAUCGCGCAGAACUCCGAUUGCGAAGGCAGCAUGCCGGCUCCACACUGACGCUGAGGCACGAAAGCGUGGGUAUCGAACAGGAUUAGAUACCCUCGUACAC
RNAcentral lists this ribosomal RNA (468 nucleotides) under uncultured bacterium. RNAcentral's name for it is "bacterial SSU rRNA". It matches the Rfam family "Bacterial small subunit ribosomal RNA", at positions 331 to 795 of the family's 1533-position model. The record is from RNAcentral.